UGGUGUUUGGUGGAGACUGGAGAGGGUGCAAGCGCGGGUGGUGGUGGUGGUGUGGUAUGGACGUGCUGCACUGGUGGCGUGGCGUUGAGGGAAGCGCCUCUUUGUAAUCCUGCCCAGCACUUUAUUGAACACAUGAAGGUGCUCCAGAGUUUCAAGAAGGGAGUGGCACACACACUUUGCUGCACUCCAAGCUUGUGGAGGUCCAGCAGCACACCGCACACUGCUUUCAUAAACGUGUGUGCCGAGUGCAAGACAGGGAGUGGCAAGGAUGGAGGAUGCUUCAACAUUCACAGCAUCAUUAGUUUUGGCUUACUUUUUUUGUGGAAAGUAGUUCACACAGUUUUAACUGAAGGAUUAUGUGUCAUCAUUCAUAUUUAUAGAUUUCAUGACCUAACAUUAUGCACCAAAUCACUUCAUUACAUGUAAGCGUAUAUUUAGCUAUAAGGAGUAAUGGUUUGUGAGAUUUGUAUUGUAUAAAAAGUGACUUAUGAGAGAUUUUACAUUAUGAAGAUUUGUUUGAAGGUCUUUGUUUAUUAACAUGAUCUAGUUGUGUCAGUCUUAAUAGUCCAGAUUGUACAGACAUGAAACAUUGUCCAUUGCACUUCCUGCAGAUGGAAUAUUAGUCAACACUGCAAGGUGCGUGUGAGUGUGUGUAGCUUUGUGAGCAAGUGUGCCAGUCAUUCCUUGAUGUCAAUGUCUUUCAUUUAGGGAAAAAAAUGUUGUGUGUAAUAAGGUUUAUAUACAUUUUUGAGUGAGAAUGUUUAGCCAGAUUAAAUAGUAAGUUUCUUAACUUUUUAGAGCUUUGCUGUUACUGUUCUGUGUAAGAUUUCAGGGGCCGUGUUCUACAAACUGUCAUAGCUAGUGACGUGAU
Molecule: long non-coding RNA, 871 nt
Organism: Portunus trituberculatus (swimming crab)
Lineage: Eukaryota; Metazoa; Arthropoda; Malacostraca; Decapoda; Portunidae
Exons: 3
Source: RefSeq, a predicted model, not a curated record